GCGGGCGUGAUCUAGCGGUUAGGAUCCGAGCCUUCCAAGCUCGUGGCCCGGGUUCGAAUCCCGGCGCCCGCA
Molecule: transfer RNA, 72 nt
Filed under: archaeon
Lineage: Archaea
Also listed under: 4 other names
Description: tRNA-Gly
Rfam family: tRNA
About the family: Transfer RNA (tRNA) molecules are approximately 80 nucleotides in length.
Source: RNAcentral